GAUGAACGCUAGCGGCAGGCCUAACACAUGCAAGUCGAGGGGUAGAAAGGAGCUUGCUCUUUUUGAGACCGGCGGAUGGGUGAGUAGCGCGUAUGCAAUCUGCCCUCUACAGGGGAAUAGCCCAGGGAAACUUGGAUUAAUGCCCCAUGGUAUUAUAAAGCGGCAUUGUUUUAUAAUUAAAGAUUUAUCGGUAGAGGAUGAGCAUGCGUCUCAUUAGCUAGUUGGUGUGGUAACGGCACACCAAGGCAGCGAUGAGUAGGGGCCCUGAGAGGGGGAUCCCCCACACUGGUACUGAGACACGGACCAG
RNAcentral lists this ribosomal RNA (307 nucleotides) under uncultured bacterium. Its description in RNAcentral is "bacterial SSU rRNA". It matches the Rfam family "Bacterial small subunit ribosomal RNA", at positions 28 to 334 of the family's 1533-position model. The record is from RNAcentral.